CGUGUAGGCGGUGCGGUAAGUUGGGCGUGAAAUCCCCGAGCUUAACUCGGGUGGGCCGUUCAAGACUGCCGUGCUAGGGUGCGGGAGAGGGAAGUGGAAUUUCCGGUGUAGCGGUGAAAUGCGUAGAUAUCGGGAGGAACACCUGCGGCGAAGGCGGCUUCCUGGACCGUAACCGACGCUGAGGCGCGAAAGCUAGGGGAGCAAACAGGAUUAGAUACCCUGGUAGUCCUAGCCCUAAACGAUGAGCACUGGGUGUGGCCCCUCACGGGGCCGUGCCGAAGCUAACGCAUUAAGUGCUCCGCCUGGGGAGUACGGUCGCAAGGCUGAA
This 328-nucleotide ribosomal RNA is filed under the name uncultured bacterium. Its description in RNAcentral is "bacterial SSU rRNA". It matches the Rfam family "Bacterial small subunit ribosomal RNA", at positions 568 to 898 of the family's 1533-position model. The record is from RNAcentral.